AACGAACGCUGGCGGCAGGCCUAACACAUGCAAGUCGAACGAUAAGCCACCUUCGGGUGGUGGACAGUGGCAGACGGGUGAGUAACGCGUGGGAACGUGCCUUUCGGUUCGGGAUAACCCAGGGAAACUUGGGCUAAUACCGGAUACGCCCUUCGGGGGAAAGAUUCAUUGCCGAAGGAUCGGCCCGCGUCGGAUUGGCUAGUUGGUGGGGUAAUGGCCUACCAAGGCGACGAUCCGUAGCUGGUCUGAGAGGAUGACCAGCCACACUGGGACUGAGACACGGCCCAGACUCCUACGGGAGGCAGCAGUGGGGAAUAUUGGACAAUGGGCGAAAGCCUGAUCCAGCCAUGCCGCGUGGGUGAAGAAGGCCUUAGGGUUGUAAACCCCUUUCAGCGGGGACGAUAAUGACGGUACCCGCAGAAGAAGUCCCGGCUAACUCCGUGCCAGCCGCCGCGGUAA
RNAcentral lists this ribosomal RNA (459 nucleotides) under uncultured bacterium. RNAcentral describes it as "partial 16S ribosomal RNA". It matches the Rfam family "Bacterial small subunit ribosomal RNA", at positions 29 to 523 of the family's 1533-position model. The record is from RNAcentral.